This 87-nucleotide transfer RNA is filed under the name Acidobacteria bacterium RBG_16_64_8. RNAcentral's name for it is "tRNA-Tyr". It matches the Rfam family "tRNA". From Rfam's summary of the family: Transfer RNA (tRNA) molecules are approximately 80 nucleotides in length. Their secondary structure includes four short double-helical elements and three loops (D, anti-codon, and T loops). Further hydrogen bonds mediate the characteristic L-shaped molecular structure. tRNAs have two regions of fundamental functional importance: the anti-codon, which is responsible for specific mRNA codon recognition, and the 3' end, to which the tRNAs corresponding amino acid is attached (by aminoacyl-tRNA synthetases). tRNAs cope with the degeneracy of the genetic code in two manners: having more than one tRNA (with a specific anti-codon) for a particular amino acid; and 'wobble' base-pairing, i.e. permitting non-standard base-pairing at the 3rd anti-codon position. RNAcentral also lists the same sequence under 2 other names. The record is from RNAcentral. Lineage: Bacteria; Pseudomonadati; Acidobacteriota.
GGGCGGGUACCCAAGUGGCCAAAGGGGGCUGACUGUAGAUCAGCUGCGCGAGUCGCUUCGGAGGUUCGAAUCCUUCCCCGCCCACCA